AACAGGGUUGGUAAAUUCACCGGGUGACUCGAAAGCAGGCUCUUAAAGACCACUCCUAGCGCGUCAGUCAUUUCGCUCCCAAAGAGCUCCCUAAAAACGUUGCCAAUAUCGACAGCAGCUCCUGUUCAAGCUCUUGUUUCGGUUCCCGCAAAAGAAAUUGUUGCAGUCUCAACUGGAUAAAUGAACAGCUUCGCAUCUAUUUCCUAUUGUAAUGACAAAGGUACCCCAUGCCAGCAAGAAAAGGCGAUCUUGUGCUAUACUCCGAUGAUCUCUUUCCUACCGAGACACGCUAACUCCCAUCGUGUCCCAGAUCACAUUCCGUGAAUCGAAAGGGGAAGCCUACUCAUCUAUCAUCUCCUCUCGUAGAUCGGUGCGGUUUUA
Molecule: long non-coding RNA, 381 nt
Filed under: Nicotiana benthamiana
Lineage: Eukaryota; Viridiplantae; Streptophyta; Magnoliopsida; Solanales; Solanaceae
Description: long non-coding RNA (NBEN_LNC037922)
Source: RNAcentral